Molecule: ribosomal RNA, 230 nt
Filed under: uncultured fungus
Lineage: Eukaryota; Fungi
Description: partial 18S ribosomal RNA
Rfam family: Eukaryotic small subunit ribosomal RNA
Source: RNAcentral
AAGAUUAAGCCAUGCAUGUCUAAGUAUAAACAAUUCUAUACUGUGAAACUGCGAAUGGCUCAUUAAAUCAGUUAUAGUUUAUUUGAUAAUACCUACUACUUGGAUAACCGUGGUAAUUCUAGAGCUAAUACAUGCACAAAAGCCCGACUUCUGGAAGGGCUGUAUUUAUUAGAUAAAAAAUCAAUGUCUUCGGACUCUUUGAUGAUUCAUAAUAACUUUUCGAAUCGCAU